ACGAACGCUGGCGGCAUGCCUAACACAUGCCAGUCGAACGAGACCUUCGGGUCUAGUGGCGCACGGGUGCGUAACGCGUGGGAACCUGCCCUUAGGUUCGGAAUAACUCCCCGAAAGGGGUGCUAAUACCGGAUAAUGUCUUCGGACCAAAGAUUUAUCGCCUUUGGAUGGGCCCGCGUUGGAUUAGCUAGUUGGUAGGGUAAAAGCCUACCAAGGCGACGAUCCAUAGCUGGUCUGAGAGGAUGAUCAGCCACACUGGGACUGAGACACGGCCCAGACUCCUACGGGAGGCAGCAGUGGGGAAUAUUGGACAAUGGGCGAAAGCCUGAUCCAGCAAUGCCGCGUGAGUGAUGAAGGCCUUAGGGUUGUAAAGCUCUUUUACCCGGGAUGAUAAUGACAGUACCGGGAGAAUAAGCACCGGCUAACUCCGUG
This 432-nucleotide ribosomal RNA is filed under the name uncultured bacterium. Its description in RNAcentral is "partial 16S ribosomal RNA". It matches the Rfam family "Bacterial small subunit ribosomal RNA", at positions 29 to 507 of the family's 1533-position model. The record is from RNAcentral.